RNAcentral lists this transfer RNA (73 nucleotides) under Arthothelium ruanum. RNAcentral's name for it is "tRNA-Pro". Lineage: Eukaryota; Fungi; Ascomycota; Arthoniomycetes; Arthoniales; Arthoniaceae. The record is from RNAcentral.
CGGGUUAGAGCCAGGUAGGUUAGGCGUCUCAUUUGGGUUGAGAAUCUGCUAUGUUCGAAUCGUAGUAGCCCGA